CUUGUAGCACAGACUUGUGGACUAACUCCUUCGGUGUCUCUGGAAUGCAAAUUUUCUUUCACAGUUUAGCAGUCUUUUUUGGAUUUCAGCACAGUGAACUAACACUUUCCUGGAUUCCAAGACCUCCAGAGAACCAGAUGGAUGAGAGGAACUGGGAAAAAGAACCCACACUGUUUGAAAAAGGCAGGAAAGGAACUCGAGAGGAAACUGCUCAAGAGAUCAUUCUGGGUGUCUGUGCUUUGACACUGGGGACAGAUUUUCAAGGCCAGUUCUUCUAAGUGGACACUUUGGUCUCUCUGGAGCCCUGUGAGACCGUUCCUUUCCAGACAGGGGUGCCACACGCCAGGUCUCCUAGGGAGAAGCAGCUUGGUACUGCUGGACACCUACCCACUCUCUCAUGUUCAACUGGACAGUCUGCUCCCUAAUGCAACCAAGGACUCCUUGGAGCAAGACUUAUACGUCGGCUUGUCACCUGCUCUUAUGUUCUUCUCACUGACAUCAGACCAGACAUUUCCAUACUUUGAGUCAAAGUGUCCUCUCCUCUGGAGAAUUUCUGGAACAAGUCCCUCUCUAACAGAAUGCAUUUCUCCUCUGCCAUUAAGAAUGCCUCACUGUCAGCCUGUUUCUCUCUGUGUUCUUGGUUUUGUUUUUGUCUUCAGUGUAUUUUGAACUUUGGGGGAUGGGGUCCAUGCCUUCAAUUAUCAUUUCCAUUCCAUAGCUAACAAAGUGUCUGUUAUGGGCAUUAGGUAUGUAGUAAGUGUUCUUUGACUCAUGAGUGAGGAAAUAAAUCGAAGAGGUGAUUUUCUUG
RNAcentral lists this long non-coding RNA (808 nucleotides) under Rattus norvegicus (Norway rat). Its description in RNAcentral is "long non-coding RNA NONRATT007116". The record is from RNAcentral. Lineage: Eukaryota; Metazoa; Chordata; Mammalia; Rodentia; Muridae.